GGGCCCGCACAAGCGGUGGAGCAUGUGGUUUAAUUCGAAGCAACGCGAAGAACCUUACCAGGUCUUGACAUCCCUUGACCACCUCAGAGAUGAGGUUUCUCUUCGGAGCAAGGAGACAGGUGGUGCAUGGUUGUCGUCAGCUCGUGUCGUGAGAUGUUGGGUUAAGUCCCGCAACGAGCGCAACCCUUGCCUUUAGUUGCCAUCAUUAAGUUGGGCACUCUAGAGGGACUGCCGGUGACAAACCGGAGGAAGGUGGGGAUGACGUCAAAUCAUCAUGCCCCUUAUGUCCUGGGCUACACACGUGCUACAAUGGUCUGCACAGAGGGAAGCGAAGCAGUGAUGUGAAGCGAAUCCCAGAAAACAGAUCUCAGUUCGGAUUGUAGGCUGCAACUCGCCUACAUGAAGGUGGAAUCGCUAGUAAUCGCAGGUCAGCAUACUGCGGUGAAUACGUUCCCGGGCCUU
This 462-nucleotide ribosomal RNA is filed under the name uncultured bacterium. RNAcentral's name for it is "bacterial SSU rRNA". It matches the Rfam family "Bacterial small subunit ribosomal RNA", at positions 917 to 1382 of the family's 1533-position model. The record is from RNAcentral.